AGGGAAACCGAGUCUUAAUUGGGCGUUAAGUUGCAGGGUAUAGACCCGAAACCCGGUGAUCUAGCCAUGGGCAGGUUGAAGGUUGGGUAACACUAACUGGAGGACCGAACCGACUAAUGUUGAAAAAUUAGCGGAUGACCUGUGGCUGGGGGUGAAAGGCCAAUCAAACCGGGAGAUAGCUGGUUCUCCCCGAAAGCUAUUUAGGUAGCGCCUCGUGAAUUCAUCUCCGGGGGUAGAGCACUGUUUCGGCUAGGGGGCCAUCCCGGCUUACCAACCCGAUGCAAACUGCGAAUACCGGAGAAUGUUAUCACGGGAGACACACGGCGGGUGCUAACGUCCGUCGUGAAGAGGGAAACAACCCAGACCGCCAGCUAAGGUCCCAAAGUCAUGGUUAAGUGGGAAACGAUGUGGGAAGGCCCAGACAGCCAGGAUGUUGGCUUAGAAGCAGCCAUCAUUUAAAGAAAGCGUAAUAGCUCACUGGUCGAGUCGGCCUGCGCGGAAGAUGUAACGGGGCUAAACCAUGCACCGAAGCUGCGGCAGCGACGCUUAUGCGUUGUUGGGUAGGGGAGCG
This 571-nucleotide ribosomal RNA is filed under the name Salmonella enterica subsp. enterica serovar Paratyphi B var. L(+) tartrate +. RNAcentral's name for it is "partial 23S ribosomal RNA". It matches the Rfam family "Bacterial large subunit ribosomal RNA", at positions 670 to 1238 of the family's 2925-position model. The record is from RNAcentral. Lineage: Bacteria; Pseudomonadati; Pseudomonadota; Gammaproteobacteria; Enterobacterales; Enterobacteriaceae.